GAUGAACGCUAGCGGCAGGCCUAAUACAUGCAAGUCGAGGGGUAGAAGAGGCUUGCUUCUUUGAGACCGGCGCACGGGUGCGUAACGCGUAUGCAACCUACCUUCAUCUGGGGGAUAGCCCGGAGAAAUCCGGAUUAAUACCGCAUAAAAUCACAGGAUGGCAUUAUCCAAUGAUCAAACAUUUAUGGGAUGGAGAUGGGCAUGCGUGUCAUUAGCUAGUUGGCGGGGUAACGGCCCACCAAGGCGACGAUGACUAGGGGAUCUGAGAGGAUGGCCCCCCAAACGGGUACUGAGACACGGACCAGACUCCUACGGGAGGCAGCAGUAAGGAAUAUUGGUCAAUGGAGGCAACUCUGAACCAGCCAUGCCGCGUGCAGGAAGACUGCCCUAUGGGUUGUAAACUGCUUUUAUUCGGGAAUAAACCUUAUUACGUGUAAUAAGCUGAAUGUACCGAAGGAAUAAGGAUCGGCUAACUCCGUGCCAGCCGCCGCUGUAA
Molecule: ribosomal RNA, 496 nt
Filed under: uncultured bacterium
Lineage: Bacteria
Description: partial 16S ribosomal RNA
Rfam family: Bacterial small subunit ribosomal RNA
Source: RNAcentral